AUUCUGCUCUUCUGCACACAUCUGCCACGAUUUAUUUAUAUUUGUAUUUAACUUGUGUUUCAUUCACAGGAGUAAUAGCGUGAAUGUCUUGGUAACAACAACCCAGCUUAUCCCAGCACUUUCAAAAGUCUUGCUGUAUAGUUUAGGAGGAGUCUUUCCAAUUGAGAAUAUUUACAGUGCAACAAAAAUAGGUAAAGAUUUUUAUUGUUGAAAUGUGUAUACACUGUCACUUUAAUCAAGUUUAAAACAAGACAAACAAACAAACAAACAAGGCCUAUGGCAGAUUAUGUGCUGCACAAACAGAGAUUAACCCCUUAGCUGCCAACAGCAGCGUCAUAGGAGUGUCAUCAGUCAUUCCGGAACUAGAGUUCCAGCAUGGCUAAUGUCAAUUGUGUGCACUUUGUUGCACAGAAUGUCAGUCAUUGACUGUUAGCAGUUAGUUUAUGUUCUCAGCCAUUGGUGGGUCUACAGCACUGUCAAAGCCAGAAACACGUCACUGGACUACCAUGGAGCAUCGGAGACCAGCAGGAGCCAGGUAAGAGGGCAAAUUGUUGAUAAACAGUUUGACCCAUUAUUGGGGAUCCAGGACAGGGUACUCCUGGCAUCAUAAACAGUACAGAUAAUGGUUGUGAUGCUUGGUGAAACUAUUUAACUUAAAUUUGGGUAAAAAAAUACAUAUAUCCUUUUUGAUAGCUGUGUGUCUUUACUAUGGAUUAUCAAUAUUUCCAUGUUGGUUUUAUCAUAGCUCUGGAUAUACUUGCUUACUAAAAAGGCAUCCAGUCAUAAUUUAGGGUAUCACUUGUAAAUAAUUGCUUAGCAAUGUGGAUGUGUUCACUCCUCAUCUUUACUGCUCACACAGUUUCUCCUGAGUGUGGACUUUCCUCUCCUUGAGGUUUGAUAGGAUGUUGUCCGUACAGCUUGACGGAGACAGUAAACAAAGUAGUGGACAAAACAGGGUGUAAGUUAAUGCAUUCCUGUCACUCAGAGAUAUAGCUACUGUCUGAAGUGCAAGGUAAUUAGUUUUCAAAAGAAAUAGCUAUCGGGAAUGUUAACAGAAUUGUACAUAAAGGAAUGCCAAAAUGUUACUCUAAUGUAAAUAGGUUGCAGUUGGAAUCACUUGAGCUAAGGAAAUUGCUGUUAACCAGGCAUAUAGAAUAAGCCCACAUCACAUUUUUCUUUCAGGAAAAGAAAGUUGCUUUGAAAGAAUAAUACAAAGGUUUGGAAGAAAAGUAGUUUAUGUUGUAAUUGGGGAUGGUGUAGAAGAAGAACAGGCAGCAAAAAAGGUAAACUGUUUCACUCAUCAUUAAAACAAAUUGUUAUGUUGUGGGGGAAAAAAAGAACCAUUCAGGGUUGUUCAUAUAUCCAGGAAUUGUUGGGAAGUGACAAAAGAAUUAAACAUUUUAAAAUGCACAAGCUACAAAAAUAGCUACAUUGGGAAAAUGUUCAGUGUUGUCUAAUUUGUUAAGGCCUGAUUCCUGAUUAAAAGAGCGACCCUGUUAGUCUGAUGAUACAAGCUAUUUUCACAAAAUAUGUUGCCAUGAAACAUUGUAAAAUACAAUGCAAAUCUACCUAAUUGGAGUGAUUGACAGUUGUUACAUUAUAUUACACAUUAUUAUGCUAUGUUUAAUAAAUAUUACUUUUGUUAAUGCAUAUUUUAACUUUUUCUGUACAUAAAAUAGCCAGUUCUACUUUAAAGGGGAACUGUCCCUUCUCUGGAAUUUACACUAACGUUUUUCCUGAAAUACCCCAUUUAUAUUAAAUAUUUAUAAAAUUAUAUCAAAAUCUAGCUCAGAUACGGCAAAGGAAAGGGCAAACACUGCAAAUGGGUAAGAGGUGAAAUGGAAAUAUUGGGGGUUAUGUAUAAAACAUAUUGUAUGCUGAAGUGUGGUCUGUUGAAUCAGCACACACAUUGCAUUGGUGACUUUGCCUUAUUCCCAUGUUUGCAUCACUUUUCAGGGGAAACACUUUUUUUUUUAGGUAACCACGUUGUUUUAUUUCUCCUCUUCUCUGCUUUCUCUAUACUGACUGUGUAGAUUUCUACAUUUAUAUUUUUCACACUCCACAGAAACAUAUGUGUUAAAUAUAGAGUAAAAGUAAACAUUAUGUUGUGACAGUUCCCCUGUGAAAGGAAACUCUUAGCUUCGGAGCCUCUGCAUCUUAAUGUAUUGGUUCUGGUCCAAAGAGACUGGCUCUGUAGUCUCAGCAAUGUAAACAAUGCCUUUUCUGUGAAACGGCCGUGUUUCAUUUGCUGCCUAAGUGGCAUUUAGUGGCUGUCAAUCAGACAUCUAUUGCAGGUACUUCCUAUUAGGGUCCUGCAAUCUUGUUAACCUAAAAAGAUUAGAUGAGAACGGCACAGUUUAGUGAUUGCCUCACAUUGCAGUAUUCCCUUAGUGAUCGUCUGUGAAAUAACAAACGUAUGUAACAAUGGAGUGCCUAGGGGACAUUAGAUUAAAUAUAUAGCUAAGCGUAAAAACGGGUAAAAAAUAUAGGUAACCUAACAACCUAUAACAUUAGAUAAAUACAAUAAUCAGAAAAUUACCCUAUACUUUUAUCCAUAAAAAGUAAUUGAAGGUUGUAUAAAAACAAUCUAUCAAUAUUGUAUAAAUGUAGCACAAAAUUGUAAGUCUUUUGAAAUAAAAGUUGCUUUUCAAUAGUCCUUUAAAGUUAUUAAAUUCAUCCACAAAGCCGGCUUAUUUCCAAGAGUCCCAAUAUGAAAAACAAAAGAAGAUUAAGGAUAUGGUUAAAAAAAAAUCUCCUUAGGGAGAGCUCAUUUGCAUACACAGCAAUGGCCACGCUCGCAUUAGGAUUUCCUCAUAGGAAAGCAUUAUUCAAUGCAUAGCGUGCAUAGCGUGACGACGUCCAGUGUCGUUUAGGCAAACAAAAGUCGCCUAAUCACCCUGAAGUCCAGACUACCAGAAAGCCACUAGAAGAGGUGUUAACCCUAGCAGGCAAUUAUUGCAGUUUAUAAAAAAAACUGCAAUAACUACAUGCUCUGGGUUAAGGGUGAUGGGAGUUUGCACCCAGACCACUUCAAUGAGCUGAUCCAUUUAUAAUUAUGGGAUGCAGAAUGUAAAUCAGUGUUAGUGGAUAGGGUAUUUUAUUGUAUAUCACAGGGUGUUUACCAAAGUUAUGUACAACAUUCUAGAAAAUGUUCUGCAAAAAAGGCACCUUAUUUAUUAGUGUAUAGGUUCAAUUCGUGUUUGAUUUCUGUGGUAGAGGAAUUGCGGUAGAAGGCCCACAUAUGCAUUUUUGCAUUAUUGCUUGUUUUAUACUUAUCCUUUUUGGGCCAGUUAUCAAGCUUUAUUUGAGUAAAGUAAAGUAUAGAUUUUGUCUAUAGUUGUUCCAGUCUCACCAUUAAAGUGAACCUGUUGUAAAAAAAUAAAAUUACCUUAAAUGGCUCCCAUAUAUGAGGGAAAACAGAAAACAGUAUUUGAUCACCUGCUGAUUUUGAACGUUUGUCCACUGACAAAGAAAUGAUCAGUCUAUAACUUUAAUGGUAGGUGUAUUUUAACAGUGAGAGACAGAAUAACAAAACAAAACAAAAAAGAAAAUCCAGAAAAACACAUGUCAAAAAAGUUAUAACUUGAUUUGCAUGUCAGUGAGCGAAAUAAGUAUUUGAUCCCCUAUCAAUGAGCAAGAUUUCUGGCUCCCAGGUGUCUUUUAUACAGGUAACGAGCUGAGAUUAGCAGUACUCUCUUAAAGGGAGUGCUCCUAAUCUCAGCUUGUUACCUGUAUAAAAGACACCUGUCCACAGAAGUAGUCGAUCAAUCAGGUUCCAAACUCUCCACCAAAGCCAAGACCAAAGAACUGUCCUAGGAUGUCAGACACAAGAUUGUAGACCUACACAAGGCUGGAAUGGGCUACAAGACCAUCGCCAAGCAGCUUGAUGAGAAGGUGACAACAUUUGGUGCAAUUAUUUGCAAAUGUAAUUAACAAAAAAUAACUGUCAGUCUCCCGCUGUCUGGUGCUCCAUGCAAGAUCUCACCUCAUGGAGUUUCAAUGAUCAUGAGAAUGGUGAGGAAUCAGCCCAGAACUACAUGAUCUCAAGGCAAUGAUCUCAAGGCAGCUGGGAGCAUAGUGACCAAGAAAACAAUUGGCAACACACUAUGCCAUGAAGGACUUAAAUCCUGUAUCGCCCGCAAGGUCCCCCUGCUCAAGAAAGCACAUGUACAGGCCUGUCUGAAGUUUGCCAGUGAACAUCAGAAUGAUUCAGAGGAGAACUGGGUGAAAGUGUUGUGGUCAGAUGAGACCAAAAUUGAGCUCUUUGGCAUCAACUCGCCGUGUUUGGAGGAGGAGUAAUGCUACCUAUGACCCCAAGAACACCAUCCCACACCGUUAAACAUGGAGGUGGAAACAUUAUGCUUUUGGGGUGUUUUUCUGCUAAAGGUACAGGACAAUUGAGCAGCAUGAAAGGGACGAUGGACAGGGCCAUGUACCUUCAAAUCUUGGGUGAGAACCUCCUUCCCUCAGCAAGGGCAUCGAAAUGGGUCGUGAAUGGGUAUUCCAGCAUGACAAUGACCCAAAACACACAGCCAAGGCAACAAAGGAGUGGCCAAAUACUUAUUUUACGCAUAGACAUGCAAAUCACCAUUAAAAUUAUAGACUGAUAAUUUCUUUGUCAGUGGGCAAACGUUCAAAAUCAGAAGGGGAUCAAAUACUUUUUUCCCUCACAAAGAUACAUGGUGUAUUCAGUGUAAAUUAUAAAGACCUUUUUCUUCAUUUCAGCUACUCCAUCUUCAUGCUCCGUGGGUGUUACUCUUCAUGCAACACCAACCUCUUCAACAGCUCCACUUCUGUUCUUAUUUGAUUUGCCUUAUGUGGGAUACAUCCCCAAGAAGGGCAAAUCUUAUCAGUGAUGAUUUGCUGACUUUGUUGCCAACGUGCCGGGGUCGGAACAGAGUGGCGUCAUGUAAUUUUGUUCCUAUACUCCCUAGCCGGUGCUAGAGUUUCCAUAGCAACCACAUCGCAUGCACUGUGGUUGCUUUAGGAGGAGAGCAGAGGGGCCUCCUGUGGUAGGUCUUUUCUGCUCUCCCUUGUCCGUUAAUGCCUCUCCACACUGAGGCAUUUGCUGACAGCUGGGAGAAAAACAUGUUAUCUAUACAUUUGCUAGCAAAACUGCUAGCACCAUGUAUAGAUACAAUCUCAUACUCAAUCUAAAGAGCAAAUGUUAUUGGGGCAUGAGAAAGGCAUUUUAAAGUAUGGCUACUUUUCUUAUUCUCUAGAGGGAGGCCCUGUUUCCCAUAUGGAAUCAAUCUCUAGAAAGCAAAGCAUGUAAUCAAUUUAUUAAUUUUAUUUUAUGGUCAGGAACUGAGACAGUAAUAUAAAACAAAAUAGAAGCUUUUUCUUGGAGUGCAAAAUGUUUAAAUACAAAUAAUCAUUUUCUUUUGGGAUAAAUGACAUUUGUGUUUUGGGAUUUUUUCAUAGAAGACAUGCUUUUAAAAACUGAUCUAUUUACACAUGAAGAAAUGUGAUAAAAGUCUCGUCUUGGGAAUGAAUCAGGAACUAACAUCCUUUCCGUGAGCUGUAUAACAUUGUCUUAAGGAAGUAAGACAAUAUAAAUAAAAAUAUUUAUUGGGUGCCUAAAGUCAAGCCUAUCUCAGGGGACUCUUGAAAGAAAGUAGUGUUGGAAAUUCUUAUAUUUGUGUCAGAUUUGAAUUAUCAUAUGUUAAAUGUAAAGAAACAAAUUAAAUUUCAUUGCAUAUAGCAUCAGCAGAUAUUAUGUAUACAUUCAACAUAUGUAUUAUAGUUUAUAUGUUGGCAGUAUAAUACAGAGUGCUCUACAAUAUGCGCUCUAAAGGUUACAAAUAUCAAAGGGUACCCAACUUUGCCAAACGUACAUUUUAAUUGAGGAAAUUGUAACUCAGGUAAUGCUUGGAAAUAAGGAUUUUGUACAUGAAGAAUACACAUAAGGGUUUCUUCACUAUGCAGCAAAAUUGUAUUGAAUUGAAAUGGAAAGGUUAUAUUUAGGCGAAAAUGGCCAAUUUGAUAAAAAAGUAAAAAUGUCAUGUGUCCUCUUAUAAAUUUGCCUCGUUUCCUCUUUGACCAAUCAGAUAAAGGAGUGAUGGUAGUGGUGUUGGAUUAAAGGGACACUAUUUUCUGAUUCUCCCUUGGCACUGUCUCCCGCUUCUUCCCAUGUGAUAUCAUCCUGAAGACAUGACUCCAGAAUGAUGGUCCAAUCCAGUGCUCCUGGUAGAAGAGCAUUGGGGACUAUAGGCACAUGUGCGGCACUUACCGCCAUCCGCCAAAUAUUCUCUUGUUAUAGAUAAUCAUUUAAUGCCAUGAUGAUACUGUAUGGCUGGGUAUAAGAGCUGGGAAGGAACAGUCCUGGCUCUCCUCUCCAAAGGGCUUGGAGGCAUGGCCUGAAGCUGUGCUGUCAAGCCUUCUAAUUAUAAAAAUAUUGUAAUUUUGAGACUUGUAGAGGGUGGGGGAGGAACUAUUGAAGACACUAUAACAACUUUAAUUAGAUGAAGUAGUUAUAUUGAGUACAGUGUUCUUUAAGUAUUCAGGGCAACUGGUCUAAAUCUCCUGGUUUAGAGGCGAGUUAAAAUUUCUGAAUUAUCAUACAUGGCAACUUAGUACUGGCAAGCCUGGACAUUGUAAUAUGUUGGGUAGGGAGCUGGGUGUGGAUCUUUGGUUCAUUACAUAUACAUCAACCUUCUAUAUGGCAUGAAAUUGAGUAUUUAUUAAUCCUAGAAUAAGUACCAUUCAACCGCACAUCCCACUUGUCAAAUCAUCAGGCAUUUUAGUAAAACAACCCACAAAUCGUUCUUUUGUAAGAUAUGCAUUCUUAUAAAGCUCCUCGUGCCUUGAAAUGGUAUAUAACUUAUCCUCAUGUUGCUCUUCCAAUGCCAAGCUCUGAAAUAAAACAUGUCAGAAUAUUGUUUUCACAGCUAUUUGAUUAUGCUUUCACUCUCUCUUACUACAUGUUUUCCUGUGUUCUCAUCACUACAGAAUAACAUGCCUUUUUGGAGAAUAUCAAGUCAUUCAGAUCUUUUGGCUCUACAUCAAGCACUGGAACUAGAAUAUUUGUAACUAUUUGCAUCUUGGACGGCCUUUUGUAUAUGUAUAUAAAUAUAUAUAUUUUAAGUACACACUGAAUUUUUAUUUGUGGUUGAAUGCCUCUGGCUUUUUACAUACAUGGAUUGUCUUAAAAAGGGAAGAAUUAUCUGGAACAAACCAAUGGGAAUGACAAAGGAUUCAGACUGCUACAAGAGGAGCAAAAUUACAAAAUCUCGAGGGCUGCUCCAAUCAAAGAUAUUUAUGGUCAUGCAUGUAAGGCUUUUAAGGCAUCUGGCCAAUGAAGACUCACUAGUUCUUGCACCAAGGAAAUCAUAGUAAUUAAGUAGAGCAUUUGUGCAGGACUCGUUGGCUGGUGCUUUCUGACCGAAGAGGGGGUGUUCUACAUUCCUCAAAAUGGGAUCUUACUCUCAACACUGAGGUGUGAAUCAGACAUAAACCUACCUAACCCGGAAAAUCUGAAUUUAGAAUGCACUCCAACUAUAUGAUGACAAUCAUGUCUAGACCUGUAAUUUUGUGUAAAUUAUUGAGUAAAAAAUAAUAAUUUACUGUGACUUUAUUAGCAGCCGAUUUUGAAAGUGGAUGUAAUGUUUGUAUUUUUUUUUGUUUGUUUUUUUGGGGGGAGGGAGAGGGGAAGCUGGGAAGAGGUUGGAGAGAUCUAAAAUGGUAUCAUGCUGUCUCUUUUAUAAGUUUGGCAAUCAGAAUGUGCAUAAUGAUGUGUUGUGCCUUAAUGACAAGACAGUGUUUGUGUGUUACAAUGUAAUUUUGGUUAAAAAUGUAGUUACAUGAAAUCUUCCAUUUGAGAUGAUUUCUUCAUACAUGACCAAAUUGAUCUAUAAAACAGGAAAAGCUGCACACUUUGCGGCUAAGAUUUGUUGCAGGAAUAAAUAAAAACAAUGGAACUUUGUGUUUUUAUUUGGGUUUACAUGACUCUGUGUUUACAACCAUGGGCUAAAUUUUAAGGGUACUUUUAUUUUGUGGACAUGUUUGUUCAUUGGCGAGUCAGAAAAGCAUAAUAAUGUUCAUAUUACAUUCAACCAUUUUUUUUCCAUGUAUUUAAGUUUUGUUUUCCAAAACACAAAAUACAACAACCGAAACAACUAAAUACAAUACUACGUGAAAUAUAAUUUUUUUCAUCAAUAUAGAGUAGUUUUAAUUAUUUCAGAAAUCUUUUUUUUUUAACUCUUGUAAAAAGAUAUAAUAGUGGAUAUUUAGAAAAUGUAAUUAUAUGAAGCAUGUGCUGUGUAAGCCAUAUGCAUGCAUAGCUGCGUAGUUAAGUGUUUUUUUUUGAACUUUCAGUUCUUAUCACACUCUACUCUUCAUAAGAGUAGAACACACUUAUAACUAAACAAACUGUUAGGAACUUCUCAAGUCUCAAUUCACUAGCAUAUGCAUGUAGGUAACACAUAUUGCACAUGAAUACAACAGAAGCCAUUCAAAAAAACGUUGUAGAAUAUUGAUUUUCAGCUGGUAAAAGCACUUUCUAAUGGAAUGCAUUGUAUCUUGUCUUUUCUUUGGAAUUGUAUAAAAGAAAUCUAUUUGGC
Molecule: long non-coding RNA, 8561 nt
Filed under: Pelobates cultripes (western spadefoot toad)
Lineage: Eukaryota; Metazoa; Chordata; Amphibia; Anura; Pelobatidae
Source: RNAcentral